Molecule: long non-coding RNA, 477 nt
Filed under: Capsicum annuum
Lineage: Eukaryota; Viridiplantae; Streptophyta; Magnoliopsida; Solanales; Solanaceae
Description: long non-coding RNA (CANN_LNC021452)
Source: RNAcentral
GAUGACCCACAAAAAAUCGAUAUAAAAAAUUGCAUAGUAAUUUUCUUCACAAGACCACCAAAAAAAUUAUGCCACCACCAUUGUUAUUAUCGAAAUUCACAACAACAAUCAUCAUAAAUUUUUGCAUUCACUAUCAAAAUCACAACAUUAUCAUUUUCAAUCAUCAAAAAUAAAAACAUACCCACUACUCAUUUUUUCAUCAAUCACCAACGUCACCACUAAAUAGUGAAGAAUAAGCACUCAAUCAGUGAGAAAAAUAGAUCUAACAAAGUAAAUUGACUGUGAUAAGAAAAAUGGAGAAGAAAAAAAGGACAAAAUGAAAAGAAGAAGAAGAAGAAGAAGAACAAGAACAAGAAAGGUUGUCACUGGCGGAGAGGAGGCUAUGCAUUUUUUCUUUUCUUUUCUUUUGUCUUUUCUAUUUUGAUUUUAUUCCAAGAAUAAGCAAUGUUCAUGGAAGAUCUACAACUAAUACUUCCU